This 428-nucleotide long non-coding RNA is filed under the name Bos taurus (domestic cattle). RNAcentral describes it as "long non-coding RNA NONBTAT013854". Lineage: Eukaryota; Metazoa; Chordata; Mammalia; Artiodactyla; Bovidae. The record is from RNAcentral.
ACAAAUUUGUUACAUGUCAGUGAGACCUUUUUCAAAGGAUUUUAUUCAAUUUGGCUUUUUGUGGCUAAAAAAAACCUCACAAAUUACCUGUUACACCCAAAACAUUUGAUGCUCCAUCCAUCUUAAGGAGCCAUCCUUAAGUCUGCUCCCACCCUCAGUAGAAUCUCUUCUCUACAAAGUGGUAGGUCAGCAUGACAUUGUUUUGAGUGUGGCAUUAUUUCCUGGUGCUCGUUUCCUGGAUUGUAUUAUCCGCUUUCCUUUACCAAGGCAGACAGAACAGCUGCCUUAGCCUGACAACCGGUUGUCCUCAGCGCAAAUGAACUUCAGCUUUGGGAAAUUCAGGCCAGAAAGGUUCCGAGGGGCUCUGGGAGUGACGGUGCUUUCUAGGUCGUAGGUCAUAUGUGGAGAUGGAGGGCCGCUUCCACCCG